Molecule: ribosomal RNA, 200 nt
Filed under: Anoxybacteroides amylolyticum
Lineage: Bacteria; Bacillati; Bacillota; Bacilli; Caryophanales; Anoxybacillaceae
Description: Anoxybacillus amylolyticus partial 16S ribosomal RNA
Rfam family: Bacterial small subunit ribosomal RNA
Source: RNAcentral
GUAAUCGCGGAUCAGCAUGCCGCGGUGAAUACGUUCCCGGGCCUUGUACACACCGCCCGUCACACCACGAGAGCUUGCAACACCCGAAGUCGGUGAGGUAACCCUUACGGGAGCCAGCCGCCGAAGGUGGGGCAAGUGAUUGGGGUGAAGUCGUAACAAGGUAGCCGUACCGGAAGGUGCGGCUGGAUCACCUCCUUUCU